Molecule: ribosomal RNA, 253 nt
Filed under: uncultured bacterium
Lineage: Bacteria
Description: partial 16S ribosomal RNA
Rfam family: Bacterial small subunit ribosomal RNA
Source: RNAcentral
GACGUAGGGUGCGAGCGUUGUCCGGAUUUAUUGGGCGUAAAGAGCUCGUAGGCGGCUCGUCGCGUCGACCGUGAAAACCCGCGGCUUAACUGCGGGCUUGCGGUUGAUACGGGCGGGCUAGAGUUCGGUAGGGGAGACUGGAAUUCCUGGUGUAGCGGUGAAAUGCGCAGAUAUCAGGAGGAACACCGGUGGCGAAGGCGGGUCUCUGGAACGGUACUGACGCUGAGACGCGAAAGCGUGGGGAGCGAACAGG